UAUCCUGCAACAAGUGACUUUUUUUCCUACGACACUGUACCUUUCCCGGAUAUCUUUGACAACGUCUUACCGGAUACACCGCAUGCGCGACAAUUACCCAAUGAUCUGCGCCGCAUCCUCAACUGGGCUUCUCCAACCAUCUCUGUCAAACAACUUCAGCAACAAAUUAUUUUCAUCUAGCACACAUGUACAAAAUUUUGAGAAAUGAGCCCAUGACACUGCUUCCUGGUCGAGUGAAUGGAAGUACUUCAGUCGAUGAUUUUUCGUGAGGUCACUUAGCUGAUACAAUUAAUAAGUAUACUGAGCAUGCUGAUAAAUUUCACCGAUUAAUGCUGUUUAAGUAUGGCAAUGUAUUAACCGGAUAUGAAAUGAAAUUCAUCGACGUAGUACCACAGCUACUGGAAAGGUAUCCUUUUCACUCUGUCAUGAGACUUUCGACAGAACAAGGAGAGCGAACACACUAUAUGGACAUGUGUCGAUUUUAUCAACAUUCGACACGCGGUGGUGGAUCGACCAAACAGGAUCCAAUUUCCAAAUUUUUUGAAUGGCAAUGGCGUAUGGUCCACCAUCGUAUUCGAGAAUGUCCAGUGGAAGUGCGGAAUCGUUUUGAACAGUUCAUCGCAACCAAAAUGCGUCCGCCAGUUGAAGAACCGAAUAAUGAUGGAGAUGCGAGACUAGUGUGUGAGAACACCAUACCAAAGGCCCUGGAAGGAAGAAGCAUCGUCAUAGUAGGAAGACUAGGAUAAUAUACCUUUGCCGCAAUUUCAAGUAAUAACAACGCAAGCUGAAUGUGAUAAGGAUCCUCCUAAAGUUGCCACGGUAUUAGCUGAGUGCUUUAGAAGAGGUGUUGAAAUACUAAGUGAUGCACUACUUAGAAGUCUGGAAAAUGGUACAUUUACAUCGCUAGAGAACUACAAGCUAGAUCUAAAUAGUCUGAAAAAUGCUCCAUACACAACAAUCCAGUCUGAGCACCUGAUAACAGUAUUAACAACUACAACAGCAAAGGUCCGAGUGCAUACUGUAUGCUAAAACGAAAAGAACGACAAGACAGACAGCCUUUGCAACUGAUUUGUCAAAAUGCACAAACGAAAAGGAAACACCGAAAAUCAAACCAGGUUAAACGUAAAAGACUGCCAGGACAUAAUUUAUUCACCCGUUCUAGCAUGGCUCAGAUAAUGCAUGACCAGCCAGAACUACAGUUCGGAGAAAGAACCGCAAUCAUUAACCAAUUAAGGAGGGAAUGUACCAAUGUUGAACGACGAGAGUGGAAUGAACGUGCCCAAAACGAUCUGUGACAACAAUGCUUUUACUCUAGAUACUAUUAGAACUUCGACAACGAAGUAAAUAUGUCUCCAGUGUCUCAGUUCCAGAUAGGCCAAGAAGUAGAAGUCUUAGAUGAUGAGACUGGUGUCCGGAGAGCUGCCACAAUCACUGGAAUAAACAUUUCUACAAAUGGUAAUCGUUACGGUGUACAUUAUCGAGGAUGGCAGCCAAAACACGAUACUUUUAAAUUUCAAGAUUGCAUUCGAAACGCUACACCAGUGGAGAAUUGGGAAAGCGACAACCAAAGAGGAAGAGUCCGAGUGAGCUCCCUAGUUCUUAUAAGCGACUUCACACAAUUAAGCCUGAACAUCUGACGGAAGGUGAUGUUGUUUAUUUCAUGAUAGAUCCAGAACAAUAUCAAGGUAAUAUUAUUGUUAACGACCCGUUUCUGAAAACAUUGAAUGUGUCAUAUGACACUAGUGGAGGCUCCGGAGAUGUUAAUAUUGUUGAUGUAACUAUCGGAUAUAGUGACAUUGUCGAUUUCAAAGAACAGGAUAGGGCUAACCCCGAACAACCGAAAGCCAAAUUAAGCACUGCACGGAAACCAAAAAGAUGUAAUCGUGUUGGUAAAACAAACCAUAUCUGGACAGACAACACACGUUCGACAGAUGGUGCAAAUAUCCCAAAUAAUAAUCAUGAAGAGGAAAUUACACACUGUAUUUUUAAGGACGAAAUAAUUUCAAUCGGCUCGUUCCUUGCAACCACAGAUAAUGAUAUAUACCACUUUGUAACCUCUAUGGUAAUAGGAAGUAACGGAUCUAUUAAGGCGUCAGGAUACAAAGUAAGAAAACUGGGCACAGACAACUUAUUGAUGAGGCUCAUUCAGCAAUGGUCUUGAUAACCCAAAGAUAAUUAAACCUAAACUAAAUGCUAAAUAGAUUGAACGCUGGCGCAGUACGCAACGAGCAGCAGAAGAACGCGUGAACACGCUUUCGUCAAUAAAAACGUCAACGUAUGAACAACGGAAAGCUUCAUUAAGGACGUUGAUACGGCAGGAAGUUCAACGGAGCUUGUCAUCCAAGAAGCGUCAAGCACGAUUCCACGUCUUGUACGAGCAAGGCAUUGAUGCCAAAUUAUUUGGCCUAAAUGCUGGCAACAUGUUCCACGAAGAAUAUUCACCGGAAAGCUUUCAUCAACUAGACUCCCUCCUCGGCAGUGGUUGGGACUACUGUAUGAAAAAGACAGUGAUAGGUAUUCGUUUGUAUCGCGUUUCGAUAUAAAGCUCAUUAAAGAGGAAAGAUGUAUGGAAAUUGUUGCCCACUUAUGCAAUAUUUCCACACAAGGCUGGAGUGAAGACUAUCGUUCUCACGUGUUACAAGAAGUCGUAAAUGCAAAUCAACCUAUUUAAAAUCAUGACAACUUUAACUGUAAAUAUUGUAUUGUAAUGUAUUGUUAUAUAUUUUAUCGGCAAUGUUUUAUUUAGUAUGUAAUUGUUUUUUUUCUUGAAAGUAUCCAAUUUAUUAUGCCGUGGCUGGGAUACAAUACCAUACCUUAAGUUUUAUUUAUUGAAAGUAGGCUGAUGUAAUUUACCUCCAAAUAAGGACAUUGGCAUUGGUCUACGAUCAUUUCAUCAGCCUAUCGUUUUAUUCAGAAAUAGCACCUGCAGUAUACAGACUUUUAAAACUAUGAUUUUCUUAUUUUAUUUUUAAUAACCUUCAAAUAAUGAAAUGUUUCAAACAACACUAAAUUCGAUUGAUAUACUUGUGAAAAAAAAUAUUUUUAGUUAACAUGUUUGUUAAUAUGUACUUCACUAAACCUAUUAAAAAUAAUAUUUAAGAUUUAUAGUUAAGGAUAAAAAAAAACACGAAUUAGACUUGAGUGUAACAAAAGAA
This is a long non-coding RNA of Anneissia japonica, 3155 nucleotides long. RefSeq lists it as uncharacterized. NCBI's taxonomy places the organism in Eukaryota, Metazoa, Echinodermata, Crinoidea, Comatulida, Comatulidae. The record is from RefSeq and is a predicted model, not a curated record. The transcript has 4 exons.